UACGUAGGGUGCAAGCGUUAAUCGGAAUGACUGGGCGUAAAGGGUGCGCAGGCGGUCUGCUAAGACAGAGGUGAAAUCCCCGGGCUUAACCUGGGAAUGGCAUUUGGGACUGCAAGGCUUGAGUGCGGCAGAGGAGACUGGAAUUCCUGGUGUAGCAGUGAAAUGCGUAGAUAUCAGGAGGAACACCGAUGGCGAAGGCAGGUCUCUGGGCUGACACUGACGCUCAUGCACGAAAGCGUGGGGAGCAAACAGG
This 253-nucleotide ribosomal RNA is filed under the name uncultured bacterium. RNAcentral's name for it is "partial 16S ribosomal RNA". It matches the Rfam family "Bacterial small subunit ribosomal RNA", at positions 524 to 776 of the family's 1533-position model. The record is from RNAcentral.